RNAcentral lists this ribosomal RNA (351 nucleotides) under Actinomycetota bacterium. RNAcentral's name for it is "Actinobacteria bacterium partial 23S ribosomal RNA". It matches the Rfam family "Bacterial large subunit ribosomal RNA", at positions 2575 to 2925 of the family's 2925-position model. The record is from RNAcentral. Lineage: Bacteria; Bacillati; Actinomycetota.
GGCUGUUCGCCCAUUAAAGCGGUACGCGAGCUGGGUUCAGAACGUCGUGAGACAGUUCGGUCCCUAUCUGCUGUGGGCGUUGGAGAAUUGAGGAGAUCUGUCCCUAGUACGAGAGGACCGGGAUGGACGCACCUCUGGUGUAUCUGUUGUCCUGCCAAGGGCAUCGCAGGUUAGCUACGUACGGAUUGGAUAACCGCUGAAAGCAUCUAAGCGGGAAGCCAGCUCCAAGAUUGGUUCUCCCAUCUCUUUAAGAGAGUAAGACUCCUGGUAGACCACCAGGUUGAUAGGCCGGAUCUGGAAGGGCGGUGACGCCUGUAGGAGACCGGUACUAAUUAGUCGAGGGCUUUACGG